CUCUCGAUUCUUUCUUUUAGGCUUACCAUAAUAAAAUAUCUUUUUGGCACCAUUUUACUUGAAAAAAUAUUUAACUUAUCCUUUGACCAAGAUAUGUCUCUUCGAAAUGUUCCCUAUUCCUUGGUUCUUAGAUUUUUUUGGACAUCCUAUUCUGUGGUUCCGAAUGUCAUAUUGCAUCAUAAAAUCCCUCUUCCUAAGAUUAGAAAUCACAGUUGUCGAAGUUACCCCAUUUAGGUAUUCUUCUUAGCUUUCCCAAAUAGCCGAAGUUAUCCCGUUAUCGAAAUCCUAUUUGAUUGAGGUGAGAUUAUCAUAAUACUAAGAUUCAAGUAUAAAUUAAUUUCUUUACAGCUCAUUCUAAGUCUCUCUUUCACAUUAAAAAUCUUUCUUUCUAUUUUGACUUGUCCAAGAUCUAAACAUCUUUCCUAUUUGUAGAUGACCUUCUUA
Molecule: long non-coding RNA, 444 nt
Filed under: Elaeis guineensis (African oil palm)
Lineage: Eukaryota; Viridiplantae; Streptophyta; Magnoliopsida; Arecales; Arecaceae
Description: long non-coding RNA (EGUI_LNC041450)
Source: RNAcentral